Molecule: ribosomal RNA, 253 nt
Filed under: uncultured bacterium
Lineage: Bacteria
Description: partial 16S ribosomal RNA
Rfam family: Bacterial small subunit ribosomal RNA
Source: RNAcentral
UACGGGGGGGGCAAGCGUUGUUCGGAAUUACUGGGCGUAAAGGGCUCGUAGGCGGCCAACUAAGUCAGACGUGAAAUCCCCAGGCUCAACCUGGGAACUGCGUCUGAUACUGGAUGGCUUGAAUCCGGGAGAGGGAUGCAGAAUUCCAGGUGUAGCGGUGAAAUGCGUAGAUAUCUGGAGGAACACCGGUGGCGAAGGCGGCAUCCUGGACCAACACUGACACUGAGGAGCGAAAGCCAGGGGAGCAAACGGG